Long non-coding RNA from Neofelis nebulosa (Clouded leopard), 2333 nucleotides. RefSeq lists it as uncharacterized. The record is from RefSeq and is a predicted model, not a curated record. Lineage: Eukaryota; Metazoa; Chordata; Mammalia; Carnivora; Felidae. The transcript has 5 exons.
AAAAUGGAGCAGACCUCUACUCCAGAGAGAGGAACAGGAAAGAGAGAGAAAGAAGAAAGACCUGGCCCAGUUCAGGUCGAGAGGAGGAAUCGGCGGAGAAUCUCAUCAGUGUUCUGAACGCUACAGCCAGGAUUCAUCCAUCUUGUUAAGGGGAAGAGACACCAGGAAUGUGUGCACACACACGGUGAAGACCAACUUGAGGACACAGAGACAAUGUGACCGUCUCAAGCCAAGGAGACCUCAGGAGAAACCAAACUGCUAAUACCUUGAUCUUGAACUUCCAGUCUCCAGAACGGGCCCAUGGAGUGGUGCUUAACUCAUCCCAACCAUAGACAAACCUUCUGGAAAUCAUGCUAAUGCACAGCUGAAUAAGAAGAGAUCAGAGAUACCAAGGCCAUGGAUGGAGCUUUAGAGAAGUACUUUUCAGGGAUCACCAGUGCUCUGGUGCCAAGGAAAAGAAGACAGCAAAAAAAGAAGAAAGAGCAAGGACCAGCUUUACGAAAUAAAUGAAGACAAUGACUGCUGAAUUUUUUUCUCGCAUGUGGACAAUGGAAUGUGAAGUCAAGAAAAUAUUUCCGAGGGGCACCUGGGUGGCUUAGUUGGUUAAGCAUCCGACUCUUGAUCAUGGUCAUGAUCUCAUAGUUAUGAGCUGCUAAGACUUUGGGCUCUACACUGUGAAGCCUGCUUAACAUUCUCUCUUGCUGUCCUUCUGCCCCUGCCCCUCUCUAAAAAGAAAAUCUUCCAGAAAACGUAUCACAAAGAGGAUGGAGUGGGAUGGAAAAGGCAAGAAGGGUCUAGUAUGUAUGGCUUACAUCCAUUUGGUCAUAUGGUCCAGUCCAAAAUUCUCUACUAAGAGAGUUUCUUUUCUUUUGUUCUAGUGACUUUUACGCAGACACAGAGCAAAGGGAAGUAACUGUCUUUUGAUUGGCAGGAAGAGUGACCUGUAUCUCAAAUAUCCCAAGCAGCUUCUUUUCCAGCUUCUAGUUCUAGGUGGGAACUGCUAAAUGCCAACAUUCAGCCCUGAGGUUUCUCCAAAACCUACUAUACAUUAAUAUGUAUAUUAAUACCUACUGUACAUUCUAAUUUUCCAUAGUAGUCUUCCAAAUACUCAAAGUUGGGGUGCCUGGGUGGCUCAGUCAGUUAAGUAUGCAACUCUUGGUUUUGGCUCAGGUCAUGAUCUGAUGGUUCAUGACUUUGAGCCCCACAUCGGGCUCUGCACUGACAGUGUGGAGCCUGCUUGGGAUUCCCUCUUUAUCCUUCUCUCUGCCCCUCCCACUCUCUAUCCUUCUCUCAAAAUACAUAAAUAAAAGUAAAAAAAGAACAAAAACUCGAAGACAGAGGAUACUAGGCUAUGAUCAUUUUCUUUUUGAAAGUCAUAGUUUUCCAUCUUUACCCACUUACCUUGGAAGAAAUUGAAGAAUUUCUCUAAAGACUUUGAAAGCAAUACUGUGAAAGAGCAGGGGAAGUACAGGACUCUAGGCUCAGGGGUGUUUCUAUCCCUUUUUACUUUCUUGUUUGGGUACCAGCCAAGGGUUUUGAAAAGUCUUGACAAGUUCUGUAGGAAGGCAGUGUCAUACAAUAUGCCAUGUCAGAUGGUAUGUAAACAUUUCUGUAUUCCCCAGAAAAAAGGUGCUGCUUCUUCACUCAUUUUUGUUGUUGUUGAAUCAAUACUUAUUGAAUGUUUACUAUGCAUAAACUUUUAUUCUAGGCAUAGGCUAAUCAGGAGGGGACAAAGAGGACAUAAUUCCCAACCUCAGGAAACUCACAGUCCUUUCAGAUGGGCACUGGAUUACUCACGUUUGCUGUUACCUGUAUAUCUCUUUCCAGACUUCAGAACCCUCUUCUGUUGGAUAUUCCAAACAUAUCACCUUUUUUUUUUUGUCUCUUCUCCUUUCAUGCUUCCAUCCUCCAGUGUCCUGUCCCCUGGCCUGCAUUUCCCUUCACCUGCUCACAUGUACUUUUCUUCCUUAAUAUUUCUUCUCCGUCAUUUAGGAACCCUUUGUCACUUCACAAUCCCUGACAUAUAGUUAGUGCUGUAUACAAUCUCAGAGAAUGAAUGAGUAUCUAAAUGUACUAAGGUCGCAUAUAAAUGAGUUUUGAGACUGCGGGCAGAGGUUUGCAGAGGUAAAGGAAAGAAUAUUUUGGUUGGAGUAAGUUUCGAAGGUCUCAUCACACACACACACACACACACACACACACACACUUUUGAAAAACUCAAGUAACAUUACAUCUUCCUAUGAUCCUUGAGACAUAAUCCUUUGCCUCAGUAGGCAUUCAACAAAUAUCUGACUGUUUGAUGCCCUAGAGUUCACAUGACUGUUACAAAAGCAUUG